CAAAAACAUCGCCUCUUGAAUAAUCAUAAGAGGUCCAGCCUGCCCAGUGACUAAUGUUCAACGGCCGCGGUAUCCUAACCGUGCGAAGGUAGCGUAAUCACUUGUUCUUUAAAUGGGGACUAGUAUGAAUGGCACCACGAGGGUUAUACUGUCUCCUUUUUCUGAUCAGUGAAACUAAUCUCCCCGUGAAGAAGCGGGGAUAUAACUAUAAGACGAGAAGACCCUAUGGAGCUUUAAAUCUCUUUUCAAACGCUAAAACACUUAUACAAGUAUUAAACUUACCCUUACACUUAUCCAAGCGCCAUGAAAAUGAUUUUAGGUUGGGGUGACCGCGGAGCACAAAAAAACCUCCACGCUGAAUUAGGCGUCCAAACCUUGAGCCAAGAGCUACGACCCAACGCACUAAAAAAUUAACAUCAAUUGACCCAAUACUCACUUGAUCAACGAACCAAGUUACCCUAGGGAUAACAGCGCAAUCCAUUUCAAGAGUCCAUAUCGACAAAUGGGUUUACGACCUCGAUGUUGGAUCAGGGUCUCCCAGUGGUGCAGCCGCUACUAAUGGUUCGUUUGUUCAACGAUUAAAACCCU
RNAcentral lists this ribosomal RNA (588 nucleotides) under Scinax cf. cruentommus ABGD cluster 48. RNAcentral's name for it is "partial large subunit ribosomal RNA". It matches the Rfam family "Bacterial large subunit ribosomal RNA", at positions 1808 to 2597 of the family's 2925-position model. Lineage: Eukaryota; Metazoa; Chordata; Amphibia; Anura; Hylidae. The record is from RNAcentral.